This 73-nucleotide transfer RNA is filed under the name Streptomyces antnestii. Its description in RNAcentral is "Streptomyces sp. San01 tRNA-Met". The record is from RNAcentral. Lineage: Bacteria; Bacillati; Actinomycetota; Actinomycetes; Kitasatosporales; Streptomycetaceae.
CGCAGGGUGGAGCAGCUCGGUAGCUCGCUAGGCUCAUAACCAUAGGCAGGUUCAAAGCCUGUCCCCGCUACGA